RNAcentral lists this ribosomal RNA (372 nucleotides) under uncultured organism. RNAcentral's name for it is "partial 16S ribosomal RNA". It matches the Rfam family "Bacterial small subunit ribosomal RNA", at positions 527 to 896 of the family's 1533-position model. The record is from RNAcentral.
GUAGGUGGCAAGCGUUGUCCGGAAUUAUUGGGCGUAAAGCGCGCGCAGGCGGUUCUUUAAGUCUGAUGUGAAAGCCCACGGCUCAACCGUGGAGGGUCAUUGGAAACUGGAGAACUUGAGUACAGAAGAGGAAAGCGGAAUUCCACGUGUAGCGGUGAAAUGCGUAGAGAUGUGGAGGAACACCAGUGGCGAAGGCGGCCUUCUGGUCUGUAACUGACGCUGAGGCGCGAAAGCGUGGGGAGCAAACAGGGAUUAGAUACCCUGGUAGUCCACGCCGUAAACGAUGAGUGCUAAGUGUUAGGGGGUUUCCGCCCCCUUAGUGCUGCAGCUAACGCAUUAAGCACUCCGCCUGGGGAUACGGCCGCAAGGCUG